This 519-nucleotide ribosomal RNA is filed under the name uncultured eukaryote. RNAcentral describes it as "SSU rRNA". It matches the Rfam family "Eukaryotic small subunit ribosomal RNA", at positions 1161 to 1702 of the family's 1831-position model. The record is from RNAcentral.
AGGGCACCACCAGGAGUGGAGCCUGCGGCCUAAUUUGACUCAACACGGGAAAUCUCACCAGGCCCGGACACCGGAAGGAUUGACAGAUUGAGAGCUCUUUCUUGAUUCGGUGGGUGGUGGUGCAUGGCCGUUCUUAGUUGGUGGAGCGAUUUGUCUGGUUAAUUCCGAUAACGAACGAGACUCUGGCCUACUAACUAGACGUUAGAUCCCUUUGUGGGUCUAUCGCAGCUUCUUAGAGGGACGGGCGGCGUUUAGCCGCACGAGAUUGAGCAAUAACAGGUCUGUGAUGCCCUUAGAUGUUCUGGGCUGCACGCGCGCUACACUGAAGGAAUCAGCGUGUGUUCCCUGUCCGAAAGGACUGGGAAACCCGUUGAACCUCCUUCGUGAUGGGGAUUGGGGAUUGCAAUUAUUCCCCAUGAACGAGGAAUUCCCAGUAGGCGCGAGUCAUAAGCUUGCGUCGAUUACGUCCCUGCCCUUUGUACACACCGCCCGUCGCUACUACCGAUCGAGUGAUUUAGU